This 593-nucleotide ribosomal RNA is filed under the name Bacillus sp. CH436a_13D. RNAcentral describes it as "bacterial SSU rRNA". It matches the Rfam family "Bacterial small subunit ribosomal RNA", at positions 59 to 632 of the family's 1533-position model. The record is from RNAcentral. Lineage: Bacteria; Bacillati; Bacillota; Bacilli; Caryophanales; Bacillaceae.
CAGUCGAGCGGACCUUUUAAAAGCUUGCGUUUUGAAAGGUCAGCGGCGGACGGGUGAGUAACACGUGGGCAACCUGCCUGUAAGACUGGGAUAACUUCGGGAAACCGGAGCUAAUACCGGAUAAUAUAAGGAACCUCCUGGUUCUUUAUUGAAAGAUGGUUUCGGCUAUCACUUACAGAUGGGCCCGCGGCGCAUUAGCUAGUUGGUGAGGUAAUGGCUCACCAAGGCGACGAUGCGUAGCCGACCUGAGAGGGUGAUCGGCCACACUGGGACUGAGACACGGCCCAGACUCCUACGGGAGGCAGCAGUAGGGAAUCUUCCACAAUGGACGAAAGUCUGAUGGAGCAACGCCGCGUGAGCGAUGAAGGCCUUCGGGUCGUAAAGCUCUGUUGUUAGGGAAGAACAAGUGCGAGAGUAACUGCUCGCACCUUGACGGUACCUAACCAGAAAGCCACGGCUAACUACGUGCCAGCAGCCGCGGUAAUACGUAGGUGGCAAGCGUUGUCCGGAAUUAUUGGGCGUAAAGCGCGCGCAGGUGGUCCUUUAAGUCUGAUGUGAAAGCCCACGGCUCAACCGUGGAGGGUCAUUGGAAA